GAUGAAGAACGCAGCGAAAUGCGAUAAGUAGUGUGAAUUGCAGAAUUCAGUGAAUCAUCGAAUCUUUGAACGCACAUUGCGCCCCUUGGUAUUCCAUGGGGCAUGCCUGUUCGAGCGUCAUUUGUACCUUCAAGCUUUGCUUGGUGUUGGGUGUUUGUCCUGAGGGACUCGCCUUAAAGUAAUUGGCAGCCAGUGUUUUGGUUUUGAAGCGCGGCACAAGUCGCGAUUCAAGGCUAUACGCCAGCUUCCACAAGCCUUUUUCACUUUUGACCUCGGAUCAGGUAGGGAUACCCGCUGAACUUAAGCAUAUCAAUAAGCGGAGGA
RNAcentral lists this unclassified non-coding RNA (324 nucleotides) under soil metagenome. RNAcentral's name for it is "partial contains 5.8S ribosomal RNA, internal transcribed spacer 2, and large subunit ribosomal RNA". The stretch from base 1 to 120 matches the Rfam family "5.8S ribosomal RNA", at positions 35 to 154 of the family's 154-position model. The record is from RNAcentral.